GUGUCUUGGUGAUUACAAAGUAGAUAUGGCCACACAAAAUAUGUUGCCCAUAUGAAAAAGCGGUACAUGAGCGAGUGGUCCAACCCAAGCCACACAACAAGAUAUUGUCAAAAAUAACAAAAAUGCACACUCUUCAAAGUUUUAUUAAGUUUUUUGAAACCUCUUAACGAUAUAUUAUCAGCUUUAUAAUUUCUGUGAUUAAUGAUUUUUAAUCUCCACGAAUCAGUCAUCUGCCGGUAUUUGUUGUUUCAACAUAAUCAGACACAGCGUCGAUGGAUUUCUGUAAGAAACAAAGAACAACUUAAUCAAUGUUAUUUUACCAAAAAAAAAGAAAAACUUAAUCCAUGUCGGACUAUGUUUGCUGAAAUUAUGCGAUGACCAAUUCAAAUGAAAUUUUGAUUUGGCAGAUAAAUGGAUAAAGCUUUACGUUAAAAUAUAUUUUAAUUUUCUACACCUAACCACACAAAAUCUACUCCCAUAAUUAUCCGUUGCUUUGACCGAGUUUUAUCUCCCGUUUAACUACGUAACAAGUAUAAUAAGAUAAUAUUUGGUCAUUUCAAGAAGCAGCUAGCCGACUAAAAGAUAUAAAUGGUAGGAAGGGACAUAACUUAUUUUAAAUAUUUGGGAUAAAGGAUAUGAAGAAAUGAAUCAAGUCUGGAACACGGUGAUCAACCACUUUUAGCAAACAUCCAAAAUAAAAAACAGACAGAGAGAACCUCAAACAACAAAGAAAGACGGAGGAAAAGGAGGAACAGUUACCGCCAACCAUGGCGGGUCUUCAGAGAUCCAACAUCUCCUUCCGCCGACAGGGCUCCUCUGGCAUAGUCUGGGACGACCGUCUCAUCGCCGAGCUUAACAAACAGGCCAACGAGCACAAAGGCGAA
This 884-nucleotide long non-coding RNA is filed under the name Brassica napus (rape). RNAcentral describes it as "long non-coding RNA (BNAP_LNC012290)". Lineage: Eukaryota; Viridiplantae; Streptophyta; Magnoliopsida; Brassicales; Brassicaceae. The record is from RNAcentral.